RNAcentral lists this long non-coding RNA (4211 nucleotides) under Sus scrofa (pig). RNAcentral describes it as "lncRNA (ENSSSCG00055028824.1)". Lineage: Eukaryota; Metazoa; Chordata; Mammalia; Artiodactyla; Suidae. The record is from RNAcentral.
GAGGUUCCCAGGCUGGGAGUCGAAUCAGAGCUAUAGCUGCCAGCCUACACCACAGCCGCAGACUCAGCCACGUCGGAUCCUUAACCCUCUGAGUGAGGCCAGGGAUUGAACUCACAGCCUCAAGGUUCCUAGUCGGACUCGUUACCACUGCGCCACGACGGGAACUCCUCGGACACCUUUCAAUUCCGUUUUUCACACAGCCAUCCUCUUUCUCCUUGCUUACGAAGUUUUAGGAGCGUCUUAUGACACUCACGUUAAUGAACCCCGACUCUAUGUGGCCUCUCCUAGGCCAGCCUGCACUUAUGUUCAGAUUGUGCACCGCCUCUCAGGGGAAUGGAAAUUACCCAGUGUGUUCUCCCCUGGCGACCAAAGGACUCCUCUCCAAAGUGCGAGUCUGAUCAUGUCAUCCCCAAACCGAAAGGCAAAACCAAACGCUCAAGGCCUCUGAUUGUCCCGGGGUCGAGCUAAACUGCUUCCUAGGCCUUUCUGGGAUGUGGAUCUGGCUCUCCUUCCCGGCCACAGCACCUCGUUCUUGGGAAUUCCUAUCUGUUUAUACUUGAAGGGCCGACGCCACGUCCUCUGUGAAGGGCACCGCCCCCCACUACCACCCAGUCGAUCCUCGCACCUCGGUUCCCGUCCACAGAGCUCCGCCACCGCUCCUGUAAAACGCCCCGUGCUCCGGCCUUGGUCUUCCUCGCUUCCCUGGCAGGCUUCACGGGGGCGGGCCCGCCUCCACACGCCCCGGUGCGGCCGGCAGCAAGCCCGUGCUUAGCGCAGAGGAUGCCAUGAGCUGAUGGACAGAUGUGUGGAGGCCGCGGCAGAGGUCGGCCCUCGACGAGGGCAGUCGCAGGAUAAAGUCACAAAAGCUUCUCUUGUCCUUUGAGGACUCUGGCGAUGAAAGGUUGAAGCAAGUACCCAAACCGCCACUGCUGAGCCAUGUUUAUUCUCCCCGUGGCACGCGUCGCACCUAGCGAGUAGCUUAUUUGUCUGGUCGCUCGUGGUGAACUCCUCCCACAUCCCGCUGCGGAUUUCCCAAGGGCAGGCGCCUGACCGUCCCGUUCAACGGGUGCCCGUACCACCAGCACCUGUGAAGCAUCUUCCUUCAGUGAAAAUCCUUCCAACCAAAUGGUGACAGAGUCCUGAAGAGCUUACUGUGGUAAAUUUCAGGCAGGACUAUGGAGUGGCAGACACAACAUUAACCUGGGUUGGAAUUCCCACAGUGGCGCAGUGGAAACGAAUCCAGGAGGUUGCAGGUUUGACCCCUGGCCUCGCUCAGCGGGCUAAGGAUCUGGCAUUCCUUUCUGCUGCGCACGCCGGGAGCUCCCUAGUAUCAUUUGAAUUAAAAGGACUCUGUGUAGGUUAAUUUCUUAGCCCGUGGGAGAGGUGUGGCUCAUUGUCAGCAGCUUCGUUGUCUCAGCCUCUGGCGUCCGGAUUCCCAACUCUGUUUCUCACUUGUUCUCUCAGCUUCCCUUUGCCCAAGUGGCUGUGGCGGUUCCCAAAUGCCCGAGCAAAGACAAGCCUAGAUCAUUCAGCUACAUCGUUGACUACAAGCUACAUCUCCAACUUGGCUGCAUGGUGGACUUCAGCGCGAGUGUGGGUGUGUGUGUGGGUGUGUGUGGGUGUGUGUGUGGGUGGGUGGGUGUGGGUGUGUGUGUGGGUGUGUGUGUGUGUGCACUUCCCCCACCCCGCCCCGGCAUGGUCCUCACGGCCCACACCCAGGCUGCUCGUGCGCCUCUGCCCAAGGCCUCACCCUGUCCUCUGCGCAGCCGGCCUUGCCCUUCCAGACCUACCUGGAGUCCUCCUCCUUCCGGGCUUUCUUGAGGACGCCGGCGCCUGUCGGCCCUUCUCCCCUUCGCUCCGCGGCACUUUGGUCUCCCCCACUCAGCGAAGCACGUCGCUGUUUCGUCAGGGUUCUGGGCCCUUUGGUGAGACCGUAAGCUCCACGGAAGCAGGGACCCGUCCACCUUGGCAAGCGCCGUGGUGCCCAGCGCCGUGCCCAGCGUCACGAAACAUCCGCCAGACGUCAAAGCCACCUGAUGCUUCAAGCUGUGUGAAGCACUGAUUUACGGGCACAUGACGGGAGGUGGGGUGGGCCGUCCUCUGUCCAAGGGGAGUUGCAGAAUUCUUCCAUCAGCUCUUCCUCAGAUGUCGCCCGGGCCCAGGUUACGAUCUGCUCUUCGACGGUGGAAGCUAAUAGCUGCUUACACCGGUUUCUUGCCACACAAAGCCAGUGCGGGGGGCUCUCCAUCUCCACACCCAACAUCUUGACAUGAAAGGCUUUGUCCAAGGGCUCUGCCUAUUGAAUAGGCAGUAAGUGCCUACACUUGCUCAAGAAAAUAAGCGCGCCCACAUUCCUGACUCAUUUAACGUGUCACGCGAAUUACAGCCCAAGCCGAUGGACGUCGCGUCCAAAAGCGGGCUUCUGCAGGCGGGGUUACCUCCGGCGAAACGCUGCGCCUGUCGGAUGAUGGGGGUCUUGACACUUUUUUAAACUAAAAGAGGUAGAAACCCUCCCUCUGUGGUCUGCUGUCCUCACCAGGCCCUCGGUGGCCCCCCGCUUCCCUCCUGUCCUACGUGAGGGUUCAGUUUUGUCCCUUUUGACCAAUCCACUCUGGAAAGUAACCUUCUGGGACCAAGGACCUUCUCGACUGCGCUGCCGUGAGGAUGCCACUCCAGACAGAGUGUGCCAGAAAGGCGCUCUGUGUCAUGACCGCCCGUCCUGUUCGGAACUUUACCUCGAGGCAGGGACCUGCCUUACCACUAAAAUAUCUUGGGGUUCGGUGUUCCAGAACGCCCAGCCCCAUCACGGAUAAAACUCAAGGAGUCUUCUUUGCUCUGUUCCUAAGAAGGGCUCUUUCAUUUAAAAGGAAGGAAGGAGCUCCCCCUGUGGCUCAGCAGGUUAAGAACCCAACUAGGAUCCAUGAGGACGCGGGAUCGAUCCCUGGCCUCGCUCAGUGGGUUAAGGAUACGGCGUUGCCAUGAGCUGUGGCGUAGGUCGCAGACACAGCUCUGAUCCGAUUCAACUUGACCCUCAGCUCAGGAACUUCCAUAUGCUGCAGGUGUGGCCCUAAACAGAAAAGCAAAAUUUAAGGGAAGGAAGCUAAGACUUAUUGACUGCCUAUUCAUGCCCAGCACUGCUUCUUUUCUUAUUAUUUCAUCCUUCCAGCCAAUCAUAACAUCGAACGAUGGUGGUCUCCCAACUUGCAGGCGCAGCGCUACUGGACGGUGGUCAUCUUCGAGGUGGGGUGCGGUAGCAGAUUCCGGCCACCGGAGGGCAGGCGUGGGCUACACAAGGGGGCCCGUCCAGCCCAGGGCCGAACCUUCAGGAGACCUGCUCCUUACUUCUUACGGUGGAGCCUGAGAAAGAUGACGCUGAGCAAAGGGGGCGAGAGACCUGAGACAAGGGAUCCUGCGACGCGGGACUUGCUUCAACUACAGGCUUGGAAAUGCCUGUGCCUUGGGAGCUCCCUGCUGGUCCAGGGGUUAGGGCUUGGUGCCUUCACGGCUGCAGCCUGGCUUCGAUCCCCGGUCUGGAGCUGAUCCCACAUCGAGCCGCUGCAGCCGCAGCAACAAAACAGAACAAAAACACUGCGCCUCAAACUACCCGCCCCACGCCAUAGCACACCUAUCCGCUCGCCCUUUGAUAACCCUGAGCCAUGUGAUUGCCCCGGGGCACAUAACCGCCUCACUGCGCAAGCGCCAGUGUUAGCGAGCAGCCGCCCCCCCUCCCCCCAGACAUACCCAUGCGCUGGGUAACCACUGAGAUACUGGGGAUCUAGUAUUACCAGUAGUAAUUAUUACCUUUUUGGCCAACCCCAUGGCAUAUGGAAAUUCCUGGUCCAAGGAUCAAAUCUGAGCUGAAGCGGUGACCCACACCACAGCUGCAGCAAGAGAUCCUUAACCCGCCACCCUGGCUGGGGACUGAACUGACGCCUCCACAGAGACAAGCUGGAUCUUUAACCCACUGCAGCACAGCCACAGCGGGAACUCCUGCGAAAAAUUUAAACAACCCCGUUUUGCAAGUUUAUUGUGCAAAACACUCCUAAGUAAUCAUGAUACAAAGUAUAUUCAGGAAGUUCCUGGUGUGGCUCAGUGGAAACAAGCCCGACCAGCGUCCGUGAGGCUGCGGGUUCGAGCCCUGACCUCGCUCGGUGGGUUAAGGAUCCGGCGUUGCCGUGAGCUGCGGUGUAGGUCGCAGAUGUGGCUCGGAU